This 303-nucleotide ribosomal RNA is filed under the name uncultured bacterium. RNAcentral describes it as "partial 16S ribosomal RNA". It matches the Rfam family "Bacterial small subunit ribosomal RNA", at positions 507 to 807 of the family's 1533-position model. The record is from RNAcentral.
AGCAGCAGCCGCGGUAAUACGGAGGGGGCUAGCGUUGUUCGGAAUUACUGGGCGUAAAGCGCACGUAGGCGGCUUGGUAAGUUAGAGGUGAAAGCCUGGAGCUCAACUCCAGAAUUGCCUUUAAGACUGCCGAGCUAGCAGGUGAGAGAGGUAAGUGGAAUUCCGAGUGUAGAGGUGAAAUUCGUAGAUAUUCGGAAGAACACCAGUGGCGAAGGCGGCUUACUGGCUCAUACUGGACGCUGAGGUGCGAAAGCGUGGGGAGCAAACAGGAUUAGAUACCCCUGUAGUCCCUGUCUCUUAUAC